RNAcentral lists this ribosomal RNA (492 nucleotides) under uncultured bacterium. RNAcentral describes it as "partial 16S ribosomal RNA". It matches the Rfam family "Bacterial small subunit ribosomal RNA", at positions 29 to 507 of the family's 1533-position model. The record is from RNAcentral.
AGUGAACGCUGGCGGUAGGCCUAACACAUGCAAGUCGAACGGCAGCACAGUAAGAGCUUGCUCUUACGGGUGGCGAGUGGCGGACGGGUGAGGAAUACAUCGGAAUCUACUUUUUCGUGGGGGAUAACGUAGGGAAACUUACGCUAAUACCGCAUACGACCUACGGGUGAAAGCAGGGGAUCUUCGUACCUUGCGCGAUUGAAUGAGCCGAUGUCGGAUUAGCUAGUUGGCGGGGUAAAGGCCCACCAAGGCGACGAUCCGUAGCUGGUCUGAGAGGAUGAUCAGCCACACUGGAACUGAGACACGGUCCAGACUCCUACGGGAGGCAGCAGUGGGGAAUAUUGGACAAAGGGCGCAAGCCUGCUCCAGCCAUACCGCGUGGGUGAAGAAGGCCUUCGGGUUGUAAAGCCCUUUUGUUGGGAAAGAAAAGCAGCAGGUUAAUACCCCGCUGUUCUGACGGUACCCAAAGAAUAAGCACCGGCUAACUUCGUG